AGAGUGAACGCUGGCGGUAGGCCUAACACAUGCAAGUCGAACGGCAGCACAGUAGGAGCUUGCUCUUACGGGUGGCGAGUGGCGGACGGGUGAGGAAUACAUCGGAAUCUACCUUUUGGUGGGGGAUAACGUAGGGAAACUUACGCUAAUACCGCAUACGCCCUUCGGGGGAAAGCCGGGGACCAGCAAUGGCCUGGCGCUGAUAGAUGAGCCGAUGUCGGAUUAGCUAGUUGGUGAGGUAAUGGCUCGACCAAGGCGACGACUCCGUAGCUGGUCUGAGGAGGAUGAUCAGCCACACUGGAACUGACGACACGGUCCAGACCU
RNAcentral lists this ribosomal RNA (324 nucleotides) under uncultured soil bacterium. RNAcentral's name for it is "bacterial SSU rRNA". It matches the Rfam family "Bacterial small subunit ribosomal RNA", at positions 26 to 338 of the family's 1533-position model. The record is from RNAcentral.